Molecule: long non-coding RNA, 4623 nt
Organism: Grus americana (Whooping crane)
Lineage: Eukaryota; Metazoa; Chordata; Aves; Gruiformes; Gruidae
Exons: 3
Source: RefSeq, a predicted model, not a curated record
UCGCGGCUGAGCAGUGGAGUCGCCUGGACCGGGGCAGCCUGCCGGACCUCGGCUGAGGCUUUCCCGCCAGUCCCCUAAGCGCUAGUGCUGCCAGCCGCGGCGGGGCUGCGAGCAGGGGCGCUAACGGUGCCUCCUUUUUCUGGUCCUGGUCGUCUUUUCUGAGAAAUUUUCCUCUCAAAGUCCCCCUGAAGCGCAGAGGACAGCAUAUCCACCGGCAGCGUCCUUCCAGCGUGAAGCCGUGCAGGUUAAUGGCAGCGCAAAAUGAAGUCUGGGAUGGUUUCAGUUCAGCUCACACCACGUGUAUUUAUGAGAAAGAAAGGAAGGUGAGAGCUGCUACGAAAUGGAAGUUCUUGGAAAAGUCUCAGUUGUAAUUUUCCCAAUGGAAUUUUCUUUUUCAGCGCAUAGCUAAGAAAUAGCAAUGAAAAGAGCCCUACAAGUUCUUCUAUUACUCAUAGCAUGUAGACGAGUGGUCCUGAACACCAGGAGAAUCUCAGGACUCUCAAGCAUGCAGGAAUAAAAGGAGAGCUUGGAUUAUUACAGGUCUUUGCAGACACAAAUGCAACGUAUCUUCUCCUGCAACUUUGAAGAGGCUUCAGUUUGGAUGGCAGAAACAUUGGUCUCAGAUCUUGACUGUUCUCCCCAACCAAGUAUUCCACUGUCCCUUCCGCACUAUUUACGCUUCCACUCCCCAGGGGUCCCCGCUCACUUUGGCUGGAAAGGCUGUAGGAAAUCACCAUAAAAGUUGGCAGUCAGCAUCACUUGUGGCAACACUUGCGUCUCCCAAUUUGAUGACAUCUUUUUCUGCACGGCUCAGUGAGAAAACUGAAGAAAUGCUGCCACCAGCACGUACUGUGUGAUGGUGCAUAGGACAGAGAGGUGCAAGCUAACAAGGCCUAGGGCAGCUUCUGCUGUGUCUUUUAGGCCAGUUUCAACACCUGUAGAGCUGCUUACGCUUGGGAACAACCUUUUGUGCCUAUGGUCUGCCUUUCUGUAGUCCCUAAUUGCCACAGUGAUGUUGCUCUCAGAUCUGAGGCCAGAGCUGGAGGCUCUUCCCUGAGCAGUAACGUGCUGCAGUGACUCCUGUAAACAUGUCCCGAGUCUCUGGUGUUGAGUGUAGGCUGCACCUGUGAAUUGCCAUGUUUACUAAAGACAUACUGGGAAGGAGUCCAGCCCUGUAUGUCUCAAGACUGGAUCCAGAGCAAACUUGAUAUGAAGUCCUUGAGGUGCACCGAGACUGUCAGUGUCGUGUGUUCCCCAGCUUGCUGCAAGCCCUGGGCUCCCGUAACCUCUGCUGGAUACCUGUCAGUCCACUCCAUGGCUCCACGAGGGAGUAAAACAAAUAAUGAUUAGAAACCAAGGUGUAAAAUAGUAGUUUUCCCCAUGGCCUGCUGCCUACUGGCUUUCGAGACCUUAAAGCCAGAGGAGCUGAGGAGUUCACAGAGGUAUUUUUUCCUGUAGAACCAGUUUUCUUUCACAGCAAAGCUCCACUUCCAUGUUUUAUUCCUACCAGUAAGAUGAAGCUCUUUUCUCACACGUCUCAUGAACUAGAGAUGCGAUGCCACUUUCAUGUGCGUUGGCAAAGAACACUCGGAUUUGAAUGCUCUCAUACUUCUUUGAUCAGUAAGACUCAGGAAGUGGGUAGGAGAGAUGAGCCAAAGAGAGUAGGGAUACAAGCUGGGGGCAAUCAAGCUGACUAUUUUUUUUUUAGACAAGGCCUUUGCUAUUCUGAAUAGCAAAACUAGCCAUGGUGAAGUGCGUGUGGGAAAUAAACAGGCUGAUUUUCUACCUGGUAUUGGGUGAGGAAACCAAUUUCAGUGUUCUGGAAGAUGACCGGUCAGCCCCAGCCCUGAGCCUCCUCUUCUCCCAGCUGCACAGCAGCAGCUCCCUCAGCCUGCCCCUGUGUGCCAUGUGCCCCGGCCCCUCACCUUGUCAACAGCGCUGGUCUGUCAGUGUCUUUCCUGUCCUGGGGAGACCAGGACGGGCCACAGGAGUCUGCAUGCGGUCUCAAAAGUGCCAAAUAUGAGAGGAGAGUGUUUUUUGGGUUUUUAUUGGGUUUUGUUGGUUUUUUUAAAUUGUUUAUUGGCCAGUCUUGCCAAAACUUCUUCUGUCGGAACUGAAGUCUUCUGCUUCUGCAAAGGAAGAGCUGUCUCCAUGUUGAAUGUUUCCAGGGAUGGGGCAUCGACCUUCUUUGCUGGUCUGUUGCUGUUCUCUGUGCAGUGCCAGGGCAGGUCUGGCUUCAUCUUCACCCACCCAUUCAGUGGCUGAGGCGAGAGCUGGCUGAGAACAGCCACCCCCCUCUGGCUUUCUCAGCCUCAGGCUGACAAAGUGCCACCUUCAGGCCCCAGUAGCCUUGAUGGCGCUUCAGGGGAGUCCAACAGGCUCCGUGGUGUCCAGCAGUCUCUGACGGUGUCAGGCAACGUCCAGUGGUCCCUGGUGGUCUCCAGCGGUGUCCGAUGGUGUCCAGUGGUCUCUGAUGGUCUCUAGCUGUGUCCGGCAGUCCCCAGUGGUGUCCAUUGGUGUCCAGUGGUCUCCGAUGGUCCCUGGUGGUCUCCAGCAGGCCCAAGGGCCUCCUCCUGGUGUGAUGCUGGCCAGGAUAUGGCAGCCCCUCUCCUUGCCUCUUCCCCACGGCUCAGGGCAGAGGAGAUGCCUCCCCUCUAUGAGGGGCAGGGGUGAGGGGUGGGAAAGCAGGGCUCAUCUGGACAGCUGGGCAAUCUUCCUGAUGAGCCUGCUGGAUGUUGGUGUGAAUGGUGCACUUUUAGGGCUAGCAUGGGCUGCAGGCAUGGCUCUGCUUGUUGGGAGCUGGCUGUUUGGAGGGUCCCUGAGAGGCCCUGGCGGUCCUGUGGUACUUUGGACACCAUGGUGGUGUAGUGCCCCAUCAGCCCUGAGGGAGGUGGAUCCACUUCCAUUGGCUUUUCCUGGGGAGGCCAGGAUAGUGACUCCCUGUAUUUUGGGAUGGCCCAGUACUGAGUGCUGGACCCCUGUGGCCACUUUCCUGGCUACUUUGGCUCCGCUGAAAGCAUGGCCUGAAAUAGAUGAUGGGGCAGUGUUUUACCCCCGAGACAAUUGAAACAGCUAUGUGUGGGUUGCCAUGGAAAGUGGCAUCGGAGUCUUCUCACAAGUUAGCAGGAAGGUUGGGAUGGUUAUUAGUUACUGGUCUUAGAGCUCUUGACCGUGAAGUUGUUCCAUUCUGGAGUAAAAUGAGAGAGUUGGAAAGGGAAGUCGUGACUUUACAAGAUGCAAAAGCGAUUGCGCAAGAAGUGAUUAAUAGUCGAGCAGAGCAGUGCCAUGAGCUGCAAGGUAGAGUGGUUGGUAGCAUGUAUUGCUAAUAAAGGAAGCAACAGAUAUGGAAAAAAUAAGGUUUUGAUUUUCCAAGUUCAUGCUCUCACCACAAAACCUUUGUGGGAUUCUGAGGAAUGGGAUCGAAAUAUCUGAAGUGAAUCCUCGGACUCCAAGGUUGAGUUUGAGUCGCAUUCAGAAGGCAGGGAGGUGGUAGAAGCGUGACACCUCAUACAAAUGAAGCAGCGGCAGAAACAAGCAGAUGGGGGAGUACGGGUCAGACGUGCUUACACCCCACAAGAGUUAAGGGAAUUUUUAGAGAUCUAUCAGCAAAAGAGUGGGAAAGGCAUACUGGCAUGGAUUUUGUGAGCUUGGGAUAGUGGAGCUGCAUCUAUUUAUUAAUGAGUGAGAAAGAUAUAUUAAGCCCUAUAGCCAGUGAUGAUCAGAUAUAGCGAAGAUAUGCUCAGCUGCAAAAUACCAGAGAUCCUGAUAGUCAAGAUAUUCUUGCACCUACAUGGUUGUGUGCAGCAGUUUUAACAGUGUAUGCUGAACCUGUUGAAUUAGUGUCGUCCCUCGGAAAUUGGCAUACAAUGGAAGAGACUAUUAAUUUAGCGUGGCAGAUGGGGAUGGCUCAUGCAUUGACUACGGGAUCCAAUCCAGACAGAGUAGCAGUAACAAGAAGUAUCAAAAUGCAACUUUUGAGAGGAGCGCCUGCCUCACUAAAAUCCAUCAUUAUACCAACAGUCAGGAAUGCUACUGGUAACGUGGGUGCCCUGGCAAAUACCUUGAGGGAAAUUGGGGCUGCAACUUCAGGACCGUCUGGUAGAUAAAGAAAAGCUGGCAAAACAAAACCAAGUUACAUCACAGAUGACAAGGAAACAAAUGUGGAAUGAUCUUGUACAAGCGGGCAUCCCACGAUCAGAAAUAAAUGGGAUUACAACAUCAGAAAUGUUUCGCCGAUGGCAAAAGUUAGCACCUAUGCAAAAAAGCCAACUGCCCCUGGCACUGCCACCAACUCCGCGCCCACCCUCAGCCCUGCCUGCCACCUCAAGGCAAGGCACUACCUGGCAAAUGCCAAAACAGCAGAAAUGAAGGUUUGGCAGGUCCCCCAAAAUUGCCGCCACUGUAGCCUCUUACUGUGAGAGGGGCCAACGUCCCUAUGUUCCUUUAACUACAGAGUGGUGGUCUGGAGAGAUUUUAAAUGUGUUAGCUCUGGUGGAUACUGGAGCUGAAGUUACUGUAUUACAUAUUAAUAAUAAAGAAGCCACAUCACAGAUCUGUGGAUUAGGGGGAAAUCUAACCUCUGCUAGAGCUAAGGUUACCUUAACAAUAGGAAAUGCCACUCCA